RNAcentral lists this ribosomal RNA (495 nucleotides) under uncultured bacterium. RNAcentral describes it as "partial 16S ribosomal RNA". It matches the Rfam family "Bacterial small subunit ribosomal RNA", at positions 28 to 507 of the family's 1533-position model. The record is from RNAcentral.
GAUGAACGCUGGCGGCGUGCCUAAUACAUGCCAGUAGAACGCUGAAGGAGGAGCUUGCUCUUCUGGAUGAGUUGCGAACGGGUGAGUAACGCGUAGGUAACCUGCCUGGUAGCGGGGGAUAACUAUUGGAAACGAUAGCUAAUACCGCAUGACAACAGUUAUUGCAUGAUAACUGUUUAAAAGGGGCAACUGCUCCACUACCAGAUGGACCUGCGUUGUAUUAGCUAGUUGGUGAGGUAACGGCUCACCAAGGCGACGAUACAUAGCCGACCUGAGAGGGUGAUCGGCCACACUGGGACUGAGACACGGCCCAGACUCCUACGGGAGGCAGCAGUAGGGAAUCUUCGGCAAUGGACGGAAGUCUGACCGAGCAACGCCGCGUGAGUGAAGAAGGUUUUCGGAUCGUAAAGCUCUGUUGUAAGAGAAGAACAAGUGUGAGAGUGGAAAGUUCACACUGUGACGGUAUCUUACCAGAAAGGGACGGCUAACUACGUG